This 230-nucleotide unclassified non-coding RNA is filed under the name uncultured fungus. RNAcentral's name for it is "sequence contains ITS1, 5.8S rRNA gene". The stretch from base 182 to 230 matches the Rfam family "5.8S ribosomal RNA", at positions 1 to 49 of the family's 154-position model. Lineage: Eukaryota; Fungi. The record is from RNAcentral.
UCUCCGUUGGUGAACCAGCGGAGGGAUCAUUACCGAGUGAGGGUCCUUGUGGCCCGACCUCCAACCCUUUUGUGAACCACCUCGUUGCUUCGGGGGCGACCCUGCCGUUCGCGGCGUGGGGCCCCCGGAGCCCAUCAAACCCUGCGUAACUAAGUCGUCGGAGUUUAAACAAAUUAAACAAAACUUUCAACAACGGAUCUCUUGGUUCGGGCAUCGAUGAAGAACGCAGC